AGCAGCCGCGGUAAUUCCAGCUCCAAUAGCGUAUAUUAAAGUUGCUGUAGUUAAAAAGCUCGUAGUUGAAUUUCGGGACCAUCAUGUCGGUCGUGCCUCGGUACGUACUGGCAUUGUUGGUUUCUCCCUUCUGAAGAACCAUGAUGUCAUUAAUUUGGUGUCUUGGGGAAUCAGGACUGUUACUUUGAAAAAUUGAGUGUUUAAAGCAGGCUCGCGCUUGAAUACAUUAGCAUGGAAUAAUGAAAUAGGACGUUUGAUUCUAUUUUGUUGGUUUCUAGGAUCGACGUAAUGAUUAAUAGGGAUAGUUGGGGGCAUUAGUAUUCAAUUGUCAGAGGUGAAAUUC
Molecule: ribosomal RNA, 343 nt
Filed under: uncultured Glomus
Lineage: Eukaryota; Fungi; Glomeromycota; Glomeromycetes; Glomerales; Glomeraceae
Description: SSU rRNA
Rfam family: Eukaryotic small subunit ribosomal RNA
Source: RNAcentral